UGCUGCGUGUAUGUGCGUGUGUACGUUUGCUGUGUGCUAUUGUACCAGCUGAUUGCUGAGUGGGGAUUCAUAUUUAAUUGCGAGUAACAUGAAAUAUCAUUACAAUGUGAAGGCGAAACUUGAAGGAAUAUAUUUUUAAACAAUUUAGAGCUUGCGUAACUUCGUGCCACAUAAUCACCAGUAAUCUCUUUGUGUUCUCUAGAGACAACACCCGAGUGAAAAGACGUUUAUAACUACAUACGUAUCUAUUGGAAGUUAAACAUAGAAAAUGCAAAAUAUGUCAGCUAUUAAGAAACGAAUGUGUUCAAGACGUGAAUCGAAUUCAACGAGAAAAUAAAGUCUCAAACGUGAUGUAACAUAGAAACAAGACACAGUGCAAGGUAAAAUCCUGUGCGGGGCUAAUAACUCCGUCGUAACAGCGUUCUUAACUACCCUACGCGAGGAACGAAACUUGUAAAUCAAGUUGUUUAGCUCCUUUCGAAGGCGGCAGACGGGACAGAGGUUGGUUCGUUCACAAUAACUAAUUCUUGAUGGUACGCGAACGCGCGGAGCUAAUUGAAGCACGCUUGAAUCUACAAGAAUAUUAGGGCCGGGUCGACACGAGCAUAGAAACGAAGCGUUAUCCCAGCGAUUGUCCCAUUCGCUCGUCGGUUCCGCGCUUGUUUCUACCGCGGCCGGAGGAAAAUUCGUACCAGCCCCGACGAACGUAAACAAUGGAUCCGGCGCCGUUGCUGAAUAACCUCGUUACCGAUGGAGGAGCAUAAAGAUCACGUCCACAGUGGCGGAGAGCGAUAGGAUCCUCUAGAAACUCCUCAGGCCGAUGUAUUUGCUUGCUCGAGUACGCCUCUGCUAAUUAUAUUACUCUUUGAAACUGUAUCCACCAGUCUUUGGAACAUUGAUCUGCUAUUGUGCGCCAGGCCACGGUGUCUACAGGGUGACUCAGAAAUAAGGGUUCAGGGGAUAAAUCUACUUACUAAGCAAGUAAUAAAUGUCGUACGUACAUGCGUUCUACGUUUCAUACUUUUCAAAUUAUAGACGACGAAAGAAAAUAUCUUACUCCUUCGGUUUUUCAUGAUCCAUCAUGUUACGCGUCACACUUUUACGCCAAUGUUUCGUGUACGUUAUGAUUCUCUUCUGCAGAACAUGAAACUAUUUCGGGUUUGCUCUGAAGAAGCGAGUUGUAACGUUCAA
Molecule: long non-coding RNA, 1191 nt
Organism: Bombus pascuorum
Lineage: Eukaryota; Metazoa; Arthropoda; Insecta; Hymenoptera; Apidae
Exons: 4
Source: RefSeq, a predicted model, not a curated record